Molecule: ribosomal RNA, 1461 nt
Filed under: metagenome
Description: bacterial SSU rRNA
Rfam family: Archaeal small subunit ribosomal RNA
Source: RNAcentral
UCCGGUUGAUCCUGCCGGACCCUAUUGCUAUCGGGACAGGACUAAGACAUGCUAGUUUAGCGUCUUCAAGCUAUGAUGAAGACGCGGCGCACAGCUCAGUAACACGUGGCCAACCUGCCCUUAGGACAAGUAUAACCCCGGGAAACUGGGGAUAAUCCUUGAUAGGUGAGGAAUUCUGGAAUGAGUCUUUGCUUAAAGGACGUGCAGAUCACGCUUCUGUGCGUUGCCUAAGGAUGGGGCCGCGGCCGAUCAGGUUGUUGGUGAGGUAACGGCUCACCAAGCCUAUAACCGGUACGGGCCGUGAAAGCGGAAGCCCGGAGAUGGGCACUGAGACAAGGGCCCAGGCCCUACGGGGCGCAGCAGUCGCGAAAACUCCGCAAUACGCGAAAGCGUGACGGGGCUAUCCCGAGUGCUAUUCGAUGAGAGUAGCUUUUCCUCAGUGUAAAGUGCUGGGGGAAUAAGGAGGGGGCAAGACUGGUGUCAGCCGCCGCGGUAAUACCAGCUCUCCGAGUGAUAGGGACGUUUAUUGGGCCUAAAGCAUCCGUAGCUUGCUGAGUCUGUCCUCCGUUAAAUCCAACGAUUUAAUCGUUGGGCUGCGGGGGAUACUGCUUAGCUAGGAGGCGGGAGAGGCCGACGGUAUUUCCGGGGUAGGGGUGAAAUCCUAUUAAUCCCGGGACGACCACCAGUGGCGAAGGCUGUCGGCUAGAACGCGCUCGACGGUGAGGGAUGAAAGCUGGGGGAGCAAACCGGAUUAGAUACCCGGGUAGUCCCAGCUGUAAACGAUGCAGGCUAGGUGUUGGUGUGGCUACGAGCCGCUCCAGUGCCGCAGGGAAGCCGUUAAGCCUGCCGCCUGGGAAGUACGGCCGCAAGGCUGAAACUUAAAGGAAUUGGCGGGGGAGCACCACAAGGGGUGAAGCUUGCGGUUUAAUUGGAGUCAACGCCGGAAAUCUCACCGGGGGCGACAGCAGGUUGAAGGCCAGAUUAAAGGCCUUGCUAGACAAGCUGAGAGGAGGUGCAUGGCCGUCGCCAGUUCGUGCCGUGAGGUGUCCUGUUAAGUCAGGCAACGAUCGAGACUCGCAUUCCCUGUUGCUAUCGGCCUAUGAGCCGAGCACACUGGGAAAACUGCCGCCGCUAAGGCGGAGGAAGGAGCGGGCCACGGCAGGUCAGUAUGCCCCGAAUCCCCCGGGCUACACGCGAGCUGCAAUGGCAGGUACAAAGGGUUCCGACUCCGAAAGGAGAAGGUAAUCUCAAAACCCUGCCGUAGUUGGAAUCGAGGGUUGUAACUCACCCUCGUGAACAUGGAAUCCCUAGUAAUCGCGCGUCACUAUCGCGCGGUGAAUACGUCCCUGCUCCUUGCACACACCGCCCGUCGUUCCACCCAAGCAGGGCCUGGGUGAGGCGUGGUCAUUUGGGCCGCGUCGAAUCUGGGUUCCGUGAGGGGGGAAAAGUCGUAACAAGGUG